UAGUCCACGCCGUAAACGAUGUAUACUAGAUGUCUGUGAUAUUUAAAUUAUGGGUGUCGGAGCUAACGCGAUAAGUAUACCGCCUGGGGAGUACGGUCGCAAGAUUAAAACUCAAAGGAAUUGACGGGGGCCCGCACAAGCGGUGGAGCAUGUGGUUUAAUUCGAUGCAACGCGCAGAACCUUACCCGGUCUUGACAUCCUUCGGACCGAUCCUAGAGAUAGGAUCUUUCUCUUCGGAGACUGAAGUGACAGGUGCUGCAUGGCUGUCGUCAGCUCGUGUUGUGAGAUGUUGGGUUAAGUCCCGCAACGAGCGCAACCCUUGUCGUUAGUUGCCAUCAUUAAGUUGGGCACUCUAGCGAGACUGCCGAGGUUAACUCGGGAGGAAGGCGGGGGAUGGACGUCAAGUCCUCAUGGGCCCUUAUGACCGGGGGCUACACACGUGCUACAAUGGUACGGACAGAGUGAAGCUAAACUGUAAAGUCAA
This 484-nucleotide ribosomal RNA is filed under the name uncultured bacterium. RNAcentral's name for it is "bacterial SSU rRNA". It matches the Rfam family "Bacterial small subunit ribosomal RNA", at positions 791 to 1266 of the family's 1533-position model. The record is from RNAcentral.